AUUGAACGCUGGCGGCAUGCCUUACACAUGCAAGUCGAACGGUAACAGGUCUUCGGAUGCUGACGAGUGGCGAACGGGUGAGUAAUACAUCGGAACGUGCCUAGUAGUGGGGGAUAACUACUCGAAAGAGUGGCUAAUACCGCAUGAGAUCUACGGAUGAAAGCAGGGGAUCGCAAGACCUUGUGCUACUAGAGCGGCCGAUGGCAGAUUAGGUAGUUGGUGGGAUAAAAGCUUACCAAGCCGACGAUCUGUAGCUGGUCUGAGAGGACGAUCAGCCACACUGGGACUGAGACACGGCCCAGACUCCUACGGGAGGCUGCAGUGGGGAAUUUUGGACAAUGGGCGCAAGCCUGAUCCAGCAAUGCCGCGUGCAGGAUGAGGGCCUUCGGGUUGUAAACUGCUUUUGUACGGAACGAAAAGCCCCGGGUUAAUACCCUGGGGUCAUGACGGUACCGUAAGAAUAAGCACCGGCCAACUACGUGCCAGCAGCCGCAGUAA
RNAcentral lists this ribosomal RNA (498 nucleotides) under uncultured bacterium. RNAcentral's name for it is "partial 16S ribosomal RNA". It matches the Rfam family "Bacterial small subunit ribosomal RNA", at positions 30 to 523 of the family's 1533-position model. The record is from RNAcentral.